GGUGAGGGCGGUGUUUU
Molecule: microRNA, 17 nt
Filed under: Corchorus capsularis
Lineage: Eukaryota; Viridiplantae; Streptophyta; Magnoliopsida; Malvales; Malvaceae
Description: sRNA CCACVL1_26019
Source: RNAcentral